AUUGAACGCUGGCGGCAGGCCUAACACAUGCAAGUCGAACGGUAACAGGAAGAAGCUUGCUUCUUUGCUGACGAGUGGCGGACGGGUGAGUAAUGUCUGGGAAACUGCCUGAUGGAGGGGGAUAACUACUGGAAACGGUAGCUAAUACCGCAUAACGUCGCAAGACCAAAGAGGGGGACCUUCGGGCCUCUUGCCAUCGGAUGUGCCCAGAUGGGAUUAGCUAGUAGGUGGGGUAACGGCUCACCUAGGCGACGAUCCCUAGCUGGUCUGAGAGGAUGACCAGCCACACUGGAACUGAGACACGGUCCAGACUCCUACGGGAGGCAGCAGUGGGGAAUAUUGCACAAUGGGCGCAAGCCUGAUGCAGCCAUGCCGCGUGUAUGAAGAAGGCCUUCGGGUUGUAAAGUACUUUCAGCGGGGAGGAAGGGAGUAAAGUUAAUACCUUUACUCAUUGACGUUACCCGCAGAAGAAGCACCGGCUAACUCCGCG
Molecule: ribosomal RNA, 490 nt
Filed under: uncultured bacterium
Lineage: Bacteria
Description: partial 16S ribosomal RNA
Rfam family: Bacterial small subunit ribosomal RNA
Source: RNAcentral